UCCUCCAUUGUUCUUGGACCCACCAAGAACCGAGACCCCGGACAUACUUUGUUUCCCCUCCAAGACUCCGUUCAUCUGCAACAAUGAACCAUUGUUGCCGUCACUGUCUUUGCCCCUGGACCAGACCAUCCUGAUUCUCGCUGAUAAUUGUGUGAUCAUUAUUAAAUCAUUUAACACUGA
Xiphophorus couchianus (Monterrey platyfish) is the source of this 180-nucleotide long non-coding RNA. RefSeq lists it as uncharacterized. The transcript is spliced from 2 exons. The record is from RefSeq and is a predicted model, not a curated record. NCBI's taxonomy places the organism in Eukaryota, Metazoa, Chordata, Actinopteri, Cyprinodontiformes, Poeciliidae.